ACUACAAGAAACCUGUUAAUCCAUGACGGAUUUCCGGUGACAAUUUCAAAAACUGUCAUGAACCCCGUAGUAUAGACCCGCAAGCCCACCAAAGCCCGCCUAAAGCCCUAAACAUUUCCCUGUAUAAAAGCUAACCUAAGUCACUCCCGUCCCCAACCUCUUUCUCCAUCCGCCAUCACCACGCCUCACCUCUCCUCAAUCCCGUCCUUCGCUAACGCCUCCCCCUCCCCCUCCCCGCCUCCAAGCGACGAUGACGGCCCGAGAUCUACAUGGUGACAACGGCUGAUGCGCCUGAUGGAAGCGGCGGCCAACCCUAGCCGCCUUGGUGUGCCUCUGCUGCUCACAACCAACGAACCACGCCUUGGAUCUGCGGCAGAAGCCUCCCUCCUCUGUCUGCCAAGCUGCGUAGCUGCCUCCCAUCAGGAGAUUUGGAGUAGCAAUCGCCGGACAAGGAGAAGACGACGACCGUGACCUGCCGGAGGCCCGACCUCGACCUCACCGGCGACGUCGACGCCCCACACAAGAUCAGCAGGACCUCCCUGCCUCUCCGGUUCGAUGGAUGUUGAUGACCGGGGCCCUCGCUCGAGCUCGAUGACGAGGUCCUCUGUUCCAACCACCAUGAUUCCUCGGCGAACAAGAAGGUCGACCCUCUCGCCCUGUUUUUUCUUUCUUUCAAAGUGAUUGCUGCUCUGCUGUUGCGUAGUUCUCCAGGGGCUAUCCAUUUUUCUUGGACUGAAUCUGAUGCAGAAAAUGUGGCCACUUCGUUUUCCUGUCCUCACAAGUUACAGCCAACGAUAGACUAGUUCUGUUGGCUAUUUCCUUUUCCUUCUCUCACCGUGCGACCACUACCAAUGUAGAAUUUGUGAGAUCUGCUAGUUUAUUAAGCAACUACUAAUUUAAUAAUUAAAUGCCCCUGAGAUGCUCUCGUUGGUUCCUUUGAUUUUUCUUGUUUGUGGAAUAAAAGUAAUUUAGUAAUCUCACUCAAUCGAUUGACCAAUAGUAAGAUUUUUAACUAGAGCUGCUAUUACACUUCUGCUCUCUUAUAUAUAUUGUACAAAGUUUAUAUUUGUUAUUAUCAUUUGGUUGAUCAGUCCUCCUCGUCUACUCCUCGCCUACUCUCGCUCUUGCACUAAUUACAUAUACAAGUUUAGUGUCAGAUCCGUGAAAUGUACUUACUACCAUCAUUUGUUUGUAGCAAAUAUCACAUAUUUUGUUCAUCGCCUUGUUGUACUCACCGGCAAGGCAUUAUUUGCUGCCGUUUUGGUUUUCGUGGAGACAAAAAGAGAAGCCGAUUCAUUGAGAUAUUUGCUAUACAAAAGAGGAUUCCCUGCAACGGCAAUCCAUGGUGACAGAAUACAGUAGGUAAGAUUGGGAAGACGGCUACUUGGUGCUGCUCAUCACAAUCAGCCAAGACAUGAUGGUUGCCAUCAAGAGGGCCGACAGCAAGAAACUAAAUAAUAGCCUUGAUAGUUUGUAUGUUCUAUUGAUGUAAAAUGAAUUGUAAUCAUUCCUACGCAUGGUGUGUGAUAUAUUUUUGUCAAUAUAUAUUACAGGUUAUCAUUUUGUUGAUGAUUUUGUAAACUGCUAUGUUAUAGAUACAUACAGAUUGUUGCAUACUGUGUUGAACUGUGUAAUGUUAUACACUUUGCAAAUACUUUCUCUUGGGCCAAAAUUAGCAUUUGGAUUUGUGAAAUGCAUUAUUCUAAUCACGUAUUGGGUAAAUAUUGGGUCCAAAGAAAUAGGCUAAUGUGCUCAACCAUGAUGAAUUUUGUGACGGAAAAUAAUAUGCACAUAGGUGGCCACGUCAUUCGAAUUGGGGAAUCAAAAAUCCUAUGUGGCAUUGGUCCAUGACGGCUUGUUCCGUCACAAUGGAUUGGGCUUGGGCGGGCCUAGGGCAGAUCCAUGAUGGACAAGAACCGUCAUGUAAGGCACGGUGUCAAAUUAUGACGCGAUAUACAUGACGGAUUUCAAAUCCGUCAUGGACGGGCACCCUUGACAGUUUUCCAUCGAUCCAUGACGGAUCAGAACUGUCACGUAUUAACAGAUUUCUUGUAGUGUACCUAUCAUGGCAUUUCCAU
Molecule: long non-coding RNA, 2078 nt
Organism: Aegilops tauschii subsp. strangulata
Lineage: Eukaryota; Viridiplantae; Streptophyta; Magnoliopsida; Poales; Poaceae
Source: RefSeq, a predicted model, not a curated record